This 139-nucleotide ribosomal RNA is filed under the name uncultured eukaryote. RNAcentral describes it as "partial 18S ribosomal RNA". It matches the Rfam family "Eukaryotic small subunit ribosomal RNA", at positions 1299 to 1458 of the family's 1831-position model. The record is from RNAcentral.
UGGUGGAGUGAUUUGUCUGGUUAAUUCCGUUAACGAACGAGACCUCGACCUGCUAAAUAGUUUGACGAAGCUUCGGGUUCGUGCUGACUUCUUAGAGGGACUAUCGGUGUGUAGCCGAUGGAAGUUCGAGGCAAUAACA